UACGUAGGUGGCAAGCGUUGUCCGGAUUUACUGGGCGUAAAGGAUGCGUAGGCGGACAUUUAAGUCAGAUGUGAAAUACCCGAGCUUAACUUGGGUGCUGCAUUUGAAACUGGGUGUCUAGAGUGCAGGAGAGGUAAGUGGAAUUCCUAGUGUAGCGGUGAAAUGCGUAGAGAUUAGGAAGAACACCAGUGGCGAAAGGCGACUUACUGGACUGUAACUGACGCUGAGGCAUGAAAGCGUGGGGGAGCAAACAGG
RNAcentral lists this ribosomal RNA (255 nucleotides) under uncultured bacterium. RNAcentral describes it as "partial 16S ribosomal RNA". It matches the Rfam family "Bacterial small subunit ribosomal RNA", at positions 524 to 776 of the family's 1533-position model. The record is from RNAcentral.